GUAUUAAAUGCGUUUAUAGCAAAGAUUACAUUCUAGACUUUAUGUGUGUAUAAAAACGUAAUCCCCCCCCUUCCCGCUAGAUGCAUCCAGCCGUGAAGCCUUCAAACAUCCAUUAGAAAAAGAAAAAGAGACUACAAGUGUGCACAGGGGUGAGUGGAUGAGCAUCAGGUGUGCACAUGUCCCGGAGGACCAGCGACAACCCAAGUCAGAACUCGUUAAUGAUCCUUCCGCAGGUUCACCUACGGAAA
Molecule: unclassified non-coding RNA, 248 nt
Filed under: uncultured fungus
Lineage: Eukaryota; Fungi
Description: sequence contains ITS1
Source: RNAcentral